RNAcentral lists this ribosomal RNA (532 nucleotides) under uncultured bacterium. RNAcentral describes it as "bacterial SSU rRNA". It matches the Rfam family "Bacterial small subunit ribosomal RNA", at positions 15 to 518 of the family's 1533-position model. The record is from RNAcentral.
GAUCAUGGCUCAGAACGAACGCUGGCAGCGUGGAUGAGGCAUGCAAGUCGAACGGUCCAAGGUUGGUAGCAAUAUUGACCUUGGAUAGUGGCGGAAGGGCGAGUAAUGCGAAAGCAAGCUACCCCUCGGUUCGGGACAACGGCUGGAAACGGCCGCUAAUACCGGAUCCGAACGGUCGGUCGCAUGGGCGACCGUUGAAAGGCCGGGACCCGCGAGGGCCGGUCGCCGGGGGAGGCGCUUUCGUGCCAUCGGCUAGUUGGUGAGGUAACGGCUCACCAAGGCUUACGGCUAGGUGGACUGAGAGGUUGGUCACCCGCACUGGGACUGAGACACUGCCCAGACUCCUACGGGAGGCUGCAGUCGAGGAUCAUUUGCAAUGGGCGAAAGCCUGACAAUGCGACGCUGCGUGCAGGAUGAAGGUCUUCGGAUUGUAAACUGCUGUCAAGGGGGAAAAGGACGCGGCCCCGAACAAGGGCUGCCGUUUGAUUGUACUCCUAGAGGAAGUGACGGCUAACUCUGUGCCAGCCGCCGC